Molecule: ribosomal RNA, 542 nt
Filed under: uncultured eukaryote
Lineage: Eukaryota
Description: SSU rRNA
Rfam family: Eukaryotic small subunit ribosomal RNA
Source: RNAcentral
UGUAUUUAUUAGAUAAAAAACCAAUGCCCUUCGGGGCUCUUUGGUGAUUCAUGAUAACUUAACGGAUCGCAUGGCCUUGCGCCGGCGACGGUUCAUUCAAAUUUCUGCCCUAUCAACUUUCGAUGGUAAGGUAUUGGCUUACCAUGGUUUCAACGGGUAACGGGGAAUUAGGGUUCGAUUCCGGAGAGGGAGCCUGAGAAACGGCUACCACAUCCAAGGAAGGCAGCAGGCGCGCAAAUUACCCAAUCCCGACACGGGGAGGUAGUGACAAUAAAUACUGAUACAGGGCUCUUUUGGGUCUUGUAAUCGGAAUGAGUACAAUUUAAACCCCUUAACGAGGAACAAUUGGAGGGCAAGUCUGGUGCCAGCAGCCGCGGUAAUUCCAGCUCCAAUAGCGUAUAUUAAAGUUGUUGCAGUUAAAAAGCUCGUAGUUGAACCUUGGGCCUGGCUGGCCGGUCCGCCUCACCGCGUGUACUGGUCCGGCCGGGCCUUUCCUUCUGGAGAGCCCCAUGCCCUUCACUGUGGCGUGCGGGGGAACCAGG